RNAcentral lists this ribosomal RNA (608 nucleotides) under uncultured Pseudomonadota bacterium. Its description in RNAcentral is "bacterial SSU rRNA". It matches the Rfam family "Bacterial small subunit ribosomal RNA", at positions 224 to 823 of the family's 1533-position model. Lineage: Bacteria; Pseudomonadati; Pseudomonadota. The record is from RNAcentral.
GAUGAGCUCGCGGCGGAUUAGCUAGUUGGCGGGGUAACGGCCCACCAAGGCGACGAUCCGUAGCUGGUCUGAGAGGACGAUCAGCCACACUGAGACUGAGACACGGCCCAGACUCCUACGGGAGGCAGCAGUGGGGAAUAUUGGACAAUGGGCGCAAGCCUGAUCCAGCCAUGCCGCGUGUGUGAAGAAGGCCUUAUGGUUGUAAAGCACUUUAAGCGAGGAGGAGGCUACUGAAGUUAAUACCUUCAGAUAGUGGACGUUACUCGCAGAAUAAGCACCGGCUAACUCUGUGCCAGCAGCCGCGGUAAUACAGAGGGUGCAAGCGUUAAUCGGAUUUACUGGGCGUAAAGCGCGCGUAGGCGGCUAAUUAAGUCAAAUGUGAAAUCCCCGAGCUUAACUUGGGAAUUGCAUUCGAUACUGGUUAGCUAGAGUGUGGGAGAGGAUGGUAGAAUUCCAGGUGUAGCGGUGAAAUGCGUAGAGAUCUGGAGGAAUACCGAUGGCGAAGGCAGCCAUCUGGCCUAACACUGACGCUGAGGUGCGAAAGCAUGGGGAGCAAACAGGAUUAGAUACCCUGGUAGUCCAUGCCGUAAACGAUGUCUACUAGCCGU